CGGUGAAUACGUUCCCGGGCCUUGUACACACCGCCCGUCACACCAUGGGAGUUGGUUCUACCCGAAGCCGGCGUUUCAUACCGCCGACCACGGUAGGGUCAGCGACUGGGGUG
RNAcentral lists this ribosomal RNA (113 nucleotides) under uncultured bacterium. RNAcentral describes it as "partial 16S ribosomal RNA". It matches the Rfam family "Bacterial small subunit ribosomal RNA", at positions 1360 to 1482 of the family's 1533-position model. The record is from RNAcentral.